UCUCCGUUGGUGAACCAGCGGAGGGAUCAUUACCGAAGUUACCUUCAAAACCCACUGUGAACCUUACCUCUUGCCGCGUUGUCUCGGCGGGAGGCGGUGUGCGUCGCGCGCCCUAGCGGGCCGCGCCGCUCCCGUCCCCGCCGGCAGCGCCAAACUCUAAAUGCACAGCGGACUGUACGUUCUGAUUUACAAAAAAAACAAGUUAAAACUUUCAACAACGGAUCUCUUGGUUCUG
This 235-nucleotide unclassified non-coding RNA is filed under the name soil metagenome. RNAcentral describes it as "partial contains small subunit ribosomal RNA, internal transcribed spacer 1, and 5.8S ribosomal RNA". RNAcentral also lists the same sequence under 1 other name. The record is from RNAcentral.